GAUGAACGCUGGCGGCGUGCCUAACACAUGCAAGUCGAACGAAGCACCUUACCUGAUUCUUCGGAUGAAAGUUUGGUGACUGAGUGGCGGACGGGUGAGUAACGCGUGGGUAACCUGCCCUGUACAGGGGGAUAACAGCUGGAAACGGCUGCUAAUACCGCAUAAGCGCACGAGGAGACAUCUCCUUGUGUGAAAAACUCCGGUGGUACAGGAUGGGCCCGCGUCUGAUUAGCUGGUUGGCAGGGUAACGGCCUACCAAGGCAACGAUCAGUAGCCGGUCUGAGAGGAUGAACGGCCACAUUGGAACUGAGACACGGUCCAAACUCCUACGGGAGGCAGCAGUGGGGAAUAUUGCACAAUGGGGGAAACCCUGAUGCAGCAACGCCGCGUGAGUGAAGAAGUAUUUCGGUAUGUAAAGCUCUAUCAGCAGGGAAGAUAAUGAUGGUACCUGACUAAGAAGCUCCGGCUAAAUACGUG
RNAcentral lists this ribosomal RNA (477 nucleotides) under uncultured bacterium. Its description in RNAcentral is "partial 16S ribosomal RNA". It matches the Rfam family "Bacterial small subunit ribosomal RNA", at positions 28 to 507 of the family's 1533-position model. The record is from RNAcentral.